GUGCUUGUUUUGGCAGCACAUAUACUAAAAGUGGAACGAUACAGAGAAGAUUAGCAUGGUCGCUGCACAAAGAUGAUACACAAAUACAUAAAGCGUUCCAUAUUUUU
RNAcentral lists this small nuclear RNA (107 nucleotides) under Notamacropus eugenii (tammar wallaby). Lineage: Eukaryota; Metazoa; Chordata; Mammalia; Diprotodontia; Macropodidae. The record is from RNAcentral.